Molecule: ribosomal RNA, 1013 nt
Filed under: uncultured bacterium
Lineage: Bacteria
Description: bacterial SSU rRNA
Rfam family: Bacterial small subunit ribosomal RNA
Source: RNAcentral
CCUACGGGAGGCAGCAGUGGGGAAUAUUGCGCAAUGGGCGGAAGCCUGACGCAGCGACGCCGCGUGGGGGAUGACGGCCUUCGGGUUGUAAACCUCUUUCAGCAGGGACGAAGCGGAAGUGACGGUACCUGCAGAAGAAGCACCGGCCAACUACGUGCCAGCAGCCGCGGUAAUACGUAGGGUGCAAGCGUUGUCCGGAAUUAUUGGGCGUAAAGAGCUCGUAGGCGGUUUGUUGCGUCGGCUGUGAAAUCCCGAGGCUCAACCUCGGGUCUGCAGUCGAUACGAGCAAACUAGAGUGUUGCAGGGGAGACUGGAAUUCCUGGCGUAGCGGUGAAAUGCGCAGAUAUCAGGAGGAACACCGGUGGCGAAGGCGGGUCUCUGGGCAACAACUGACGCUGAGGAGCGAAAGCGUGGGGAGCGAACAGGAUUAGAUACCCUGGUAGUCCACGCCGUAAACGUUGGGCGCUAGGUGUGGGGCUCAUUCCACGAGUUCCGUGCCGCAGCUAACGCAUUAAGCGCCCCGCCUGGGGAGUACGGCCGCAAGGCUAAAACUCAAAGGAAUUGACGGGGGCCCGCACAAGCGGCGGAGCAUGUUGCUUAAUUCGAUGCAACGCGAAGAACCUUACCUAGGCUUGACAUGCACGGAAAUCUCCCAGAGAUGGGAGGUCCGUAAGGGCCGUGCACAGGUGGUGCAUGGUUGUCGUCAGCUCGUGUCGUGAGAUGUUGGGUUAAGUCCCGCAACGAGCGCAACCCUCGUCCUAUGUUGCCAGCACGUGAUGGUGGGGACUCAUAGGAGACUGCCGGGGUCAACUCGGAGGAAGGUAGGGAUGACGUCAAAUCAUCAUGCCCCUUAUGUCUAGGGCUGCAAACAUGCUACAAUGGCCGGUACAAAGGGCUGCGAUACCGUGAGGUGGAGCGAAUCCCAAAAAGCCGGUCUCAGUUCCGGAUUGGGGUCUGCAACUCGACCCCAUGAAGUUGGAGUCCCUAGUAAUCGCAGAUCAGCAACCCCCCCG